UACGGGGGGGGCUAGCGUUGUUCUGAAUUACUGGGCGUAAAGGGCGCGUCGGCGGUCUGCUAAGUUGGAUGUGAAAACUCUGGGCUUAACCCAGAGCCUGCAUUCAAUACUGACAGGCUAGAGUUCUGGAGGGGAUAGCGGAAUUCCUGGUGUAGCGGUGAAAUGCGUAGAUAUCAGGAGGAACACCGGUGGCGAAGGCGGCUAUCUGGACAGAGUCUGACGCUGAGGCGCGAAAGCUAGGGGAGCAAACAGG
This 253-nucleotide ribosomal RNA is filed under the name uncultured bacterium. Its description in RNAcentral is "partial 16S ribosomal RNA". It matches the Rfam family "Bacterial small subunit ribosomal RNA", at positions 524 to 776 of the family's 1533-position model. The record is from RNAcentral.